UCAAGUUAAAGAGUGUGUAUAUAAUGCAACUGAAAACUCUUUAUCUCUGUUCUGUAUCUAAUAAUAUAAAUAUAUAUCUAUGUGUAUAUUGUUUCAGAGUGUAAUGAAGUUGAGAGUAGUAUUUUAACCAAAAGAACAUCUGCCUUAACAACAGUGAAGGUUUUAGCGAGCAGGUGUUAUUUGGUGAUGUUGAAAGAAAUCCAGGACCUACAAUGGUUUAUCAAGACUAAUCUUAGUGCUUGCCAUACAAGUGUCAAAGAGUGAAGGGCAAGAACAAUUUUAAAGAACAGAGAAGACUUGUUUUAUUGCACUUAGUUUUGAGUUUUUGUUUUAUAUUUUACCACUAUGAUAGAGUAAUGUAACAUUCAGGAAAUGUAUUGUUCUGAUA
This is a long non-coding RNA of Mytilus californianus (California mussel), 388 nucleotides long. RefSeq lists it as uncharacterized. NCBI's taxonomy places the organism in Eukaryota, Metazoa, Mollusca, Bivalvia, Mytilida, Mytilidae. The transcript has 2 exons. The record is from RefSeq and is a predicted model, not a curated record.